GACUCGGUGGCGGAAGGUCCGCGUCUCCUGCUGCUAGGCGUUCCAAUCAAAAAGCUUAAACGGAGAAGCCGCCCGUUCGAUUCGGGCCCGAGUCA
Mycena belliarum is the source of this 95-nucleotide non-coding RNA. The record is from the annotation of a GenBank genome assembly. Lineage: Eukaryota; Fungi; Basidiomycota; Agaricomycetes; Agaricales; Mycenaceae.